Molecule: long non-coding RNA, 1933 nt
Organism: Empidonax traillii (willow flycatcher)
Lineage: Eukaryota; Metazoa; Chordata; Aves; Passeriformes; Tyrannidae
Exons: 2
Source: RefSeq, a predicted model, not a curated record
GGUGCACCGGGCGCGGGGAGCGGCCGGGGGGCUGCCGGGCGGGAGGGUGGGCUCUCCUCCCUUAACAACCUCCCUCCCGCCUUGUUUUUCGUCCCUGCUAAGGCGAGCUCCCGUAGCCAGCCGCGUUGCUCGGCGCGCGAAGGGAAGAGUGUGGAAAGUGGCGGGUUCUCCGCUUUGUUUUAGUCGCUCCGGUGGCGGCGUCUCCGGGGCGGUGAAAUACGGGACGAGCGGCCUCCGCUGUGCUCCUUCCUCCUCGGGGAGAGCUGGAAAAUAGAGAGAGAGAGAGAAAGAGAGAGAGGAGAGAGAGGGGAGAGCGAUCGGUGGUGCCUCGUGGGCUGGCCGAGCUGCUGCCGGGGCUCGGCGGCCGCAGACGGUGGAUUUGCGGGAAGCGGACGGGAUGAGAAAUAAACGCACCUGGCCAGCGGCGUUUAGGGGAGCGGGGGCCGGGUGCUCCCGCUGGCUGCUGGAGUCACUGGACUCCGAACUCGGACCCGCCGAGCUGCAAUGGACGCUGCCCGCCGCUGGCCGCAGAGCGGAGCAUUCCCGCCGCCGCCGCCGCCGCCGCCGCCGAGGAGGGAGAGCUGCCCGCCCGGAGCCGGCCCGCGGCGCGCCCCUCGCCCGGAGAGGGACCGGGGGUUUCCUCUUCGGCAUCGCUCCGGUGAACGUGGGCUGUGCCAGCCGGGCGCCCACAUAGGUUGCGUGCCAGCCGCGGCGCGAGCGAAUAGAACUCCAUGGAUGUAUUGGAAGUAAGCGCCGGGAGCAUUUGGUGAUGUUUGGGGGAGGAAGGCACAAGCCACCAAGGCCCUGUUCCCUCCAUCUUGAGCCUUCCAUGGUGACAUGCAGCAGCACAGGGAAGUAUGAAGCACUGAGGGACAGAAGUCGGUGUUUAAACUUAACUUCGCUUCAGCGUAAACGACCACGCACGUUUCAGAUUGAUGGAGGACCAGGGGUAGAAUAGCAGAAGUACUUAAGGUGCCCUCUAUUUUGCAUAUCUAAAGAUUAGGGAGAUGUUUAGAAAAGUGAUUAUACACCUGUGCUUAUGUUUACUGUCCUAACAGAAGAUGAUGGUCCGCAUUAUCUUAAAUGCUAGAUAUGUCUUGGAUGCAUCUGCGUCACCUUAUUGAUCUCAGGGGAAAUGUAUUGAUUUAAGUUAGUGAAGGCACUAACCCAGCCAAGUUUUAAAUUAUUAGAAUAGUAUUCUCCCUCUUUUUCAGUCAGAUUUGCCCUUCAUGUUACUUCUGUUUCAUAAUCCUCCUAGCUCUCCAUUUUGUCAUUACAAGACCAGCAUCUCUACUGUAGGAAAAAAAAAAAAAAAAGAGGACACCCCCCCCCCCACCUCCCUCCCAAAGAUAGUCUUUUAACAAUCGGCUCUUUAUAUUAAUGUUUAAAUAAAUUUAGGACACAAAUGAACCGGGUUUUUUAAUAGGCCAAUUUAGUUUCAGUUUCUUACACAGUUAUUUUUUAGAGCCAGAAGCUCUCAGGAAGAGAAUGUGUUCGAUGCACCAGAACCCUUUAGGGUUUCGAUGAAAGACAUGAUAUCAUGAGUACCAUCUCCACUUCUGUUAUUCUUCUUAUAUAGUAGCGACAAGACUGAAUCACCAUUUUUAGCUAUUCUUCAGCAGAACUCAUAAUCUAUCAAAGUGUCAGCUCAACAGCAGUUUUCUCUUCACACUAAUGUGAACCAGAAGGUCCAGCUAUCACUGAUUUUGACAAUUUUAUUUUAUCUGAGAUUGCAUGUAUUGCAGAAGUUUGAAGCAAAUGAAUUAUAGGACCUAUUAUAUUUUCCUGAAGAUGUACAGAACGUAAAAUAUGUCCGCUAAAACAUUUCAAACUAAUUUGUAUCAGAUAAGAUUCUUAAGUUAGGUGUUUCAUAAGCCUUAUGCUAUAAGCGCUAUUAAAUAUUUGUGUGAUAAAUAAUAAGUAUAAGAGCAAA